Molecule: ribosomal RNA, 424 nt
Filed under: uncultured bacterium
Lineage: Bacteria
Description: bacterial SSU rRNA
Rfam family: Bacterial small subunit ribosomal RNA
Source: RNAcentral
GGAAUUGUUCGCAAUGGGCGCAAGCCUGACGACGCAACGCCGCGUGGAGGACGAAGACCUUCGGGUCGUAAACUCCUUUCGAUCGAGACGAAUGGCCUUCGGGUGAACAAUCCGGAGGAGUGACGGUACCGAGAGAAGAAGCCCCCGCUAACUCCGUCCCAGCAGCCGCGGUAAUACGGGGGGGGCAAGCGUUGUUCGGAAUUACUGGGCGUAAAGGGCUCGUAGGCGGCCAACUAAGUCGGACGUGAAAUCCCUCGGCUCAACCGGGGAACUGCGUCCGAUACUGGAUGGCUUGAGUUCGGGAGAGGGAUGCGGAAUUCCAGGUGUAGCGGUGAAAUGCGUAGAUAUCUGGAGGAACACCGGUGGCGAAGGCGGCAUCCUGGACCGACACUGACGCUGAGUGAGCGAAAGCCAGGGGAGCAAA